GUGACAAGCCCAGGCCGCACCGGUAGAACCGCAGCUGGAGCGGCGCACGGAUAAAACCUCCUGUAGACGGACCCGUCCCAGCACAAGCCAUACCUGCAGACAUCAUAUAGCUAUCUGACAAGACCCUGAUGCUGUGCUGUCCAUUCAAGUCUGAUACUAACAACACACUGCUCUUGGCCUACAGAAAGAGGAUGUAACUGAGCUGAAACUCUUGAAGGUUAAGUUUUUACAGGCUCCUGGAGCACUUGAGUAACUUCUUGGCCAGCAUAGAUUGUUUCUGAAAUCAUCUGAACCAUGUGCCUUGGUCAUUAGAAGGAAAGACCACCAUUUAAUUACAGGAAAUGUAAUUCAGACAGACAACAUACUUUGUAGUAGAAAAAGAUAAUAUUUGGGUAUUCCAAACUGCCCAAGAGCCAAAGCAGGAGAACCUCAGAUGGCAAAGAUGGGAAGCGGAAGAAAAAAUGAGGCCUGUAGAAGACUUCUGUUCUGUUCUUUUCUGUUCUAUGAUCCUACUCUUUCUCCAUAAACCACAACUGUUCUAUCUCUAGUACAUUAUUCAUACUUGCUGGUCUUCCAUUAAUAGAUUAGUUCAGCUGGAAAGGACCUACAACAAUCAUUUAGUCCAACUGCCAGAGAAAUUUAGGACUGACCAAAAGUUAUGCACCUAACUUUUACACAUUUUACUCAAGCGCGUUUUACUCAAGUUAUUGUCCAAAUGCCUCUUAAACACCAACAGCAUGGGGCAUUGACCACUCCCUAUUAAGCCUGUUCCAGUGUUUGACCACCCCGUUGGUAAAGAAAUGUUACUUAAUAUAUAGUCUGAGCCUCCCUUGAUGCCACUUCAAACCAUCCUGAUGCAUCCUGCUACUGGAUACCAGGGAGAAGAGAUCAGCACAGAUUUCAUGCUGUACAUGCUAUGUCUUCCCACUGUCUUGUCUCCACUAAUAUUCUGACCUGAUUUAUUUACUAAAACCCCCACACCCAACCCCAACAUAGCCAACAUUAAUUGGAUUAGAAUCUGAUUGUCACAUUAAAAAAAUCGCUGAGCAAACACAGCCUUUUAACAGUGCAGUCACAGUUAGCAAAGUUCCUAGAUAAACUGUUCUCUAUGCAGUAAUGAAUGUAUUACAAAUUGUGAUCCAUUAAACAAAGCAAGUACAAAAACAGUGUCAGUAAGAGUUGCAGAUAACUGAAAAAGUAUAGUAAGUAAAAAAUGACAGGAAGAAAUCAGUUAUGCAUCAUUUCAAGGAGCAACUGUAGAGUAUGUAUUUUAUUUAUUACAUCAAGGCAAUUUUAAGUGUGCAACAGGGCACCUAAUCACUCUACAGUAAAUGAAAGGUGUCUCUUUACAUUGAAGUUACCAUGAAAUACUAGUUGCAGUGCAGUAAUAAUACACAAAAACAUCAACUGGGAAUACUGCACAGUGGACACAAAUAGGUCCAGGAAUUUCCUGAAGCACGUGGAAGAUAACUUUGUCCGGGUACUACAGGAGUUGACUACGAAAUAUACCCUCCUAAAAAACCAAAACAAAAAAAAACCAAAUAAACAAACAAACAAAAAAAAAAAAA
RNAcentral lists this long non-coding RNA (1568 nucleotides) under Strigops habroptila (Kakapo). RNAcentral's name for it is "lncRNA (ENSSHBG00005002388.1)". The record is from RNAcentral. Lineage: Eukaryota; Metazoa; Chordata; Aves; Psittaciformes; Psittacidae.